UUUUCUCAUCCACUUUCUUCUUUUGUCCUCCUCCUCAAGCUCAUCCAUGACUCUUCCUUCUCCUUCCUCUUUUUCUUCGCCCACUUCUUCUCUACCUCUUCCUCCAAGCCUGCUCAUGACUCUCUUCCUCUAUGGUGGCUUCCUCCACUUCUGCUGUUCCUUGCCAGCAACCCCUCUUUCUCCCCCCUCUCCUUCCUCUUCCUCUACUUC
Molecule: long non-coding RNA, 210 nt
Filed under: Elaeis guineensis (African oil palm)
Lineage: Eukaryota; Viridiplantae; Streptophyta; Magnoliopsida; Arecales; Arecaceae
Description: long non-coding RNA (EGUI_LNC030198)
Source: RNAcentral